Oncorhynchus tshawytscha (Chinook salmon) is the source of this 1328-nucleotide long non-coding RNA. NCBI's taxonomy places the organism in Eukaryota, Metazoa, Chordata, Actinopteri, Salmoniformes, Salmonidae. The record is from Ensembl.
CGAGUUUAAUACAAACGCUCUACAUUAAUAGUCUCUAAAAUAUAUGUAAACAGGCCAUAAAUGUCUAAAUUGUUGUUUUCUUGGAAAGCUAAGAGGUCUGUUAUAUGAUGCAAUAUCAGUACUUGUUGCAUUUACAACUUGUCUAAAUCCAAUCAUCAACUGAUUUCAGACAGUGUCUGGUUGGAGAUGGACUGUGUUGUUUAAAUGGAAUGUGAGCAUAUUGGCAGUUAAUAUAAAACGUUUAUGGAAUCAAACCUCUAAAACUAGCUGGCAGGCUAACACACAUCCAGUGCAGAUCAUUUUUUUAAAUUCAUUAUUUGACACUAUCACUGGCAAACCAUGGUUGACAAACUCCCUGACCAAAAUGGCUGACCUUUAUCCCAUCACUUAUUUAUGUAUUUGACAUUUUGCAGGAGGAAAUCUCUUGAGAUGGUGCGUCUCAUUUUCAAGAGUCCAAAUGAAAAAAACUAAACAAACAAUACUUAGAAUAAUAUGGAAACUACUGUCUAAUAUAAUAACAAAAUAUAUAUUAUUACAUACAAAAAAAAACAACCUGCAUUAACAGAAUUAACUUCUGCUCCAACGACUAAUAAAACGAAGUACAUAUAAUAUAUACAUACAAAUAUCUUCACAUGGUGAUGUUCCUAUUAGCUAUUUAAAAAUAAACUGUUUGUUCUUAACAUUUGAAAAAUGACUCUUAAAUUCACUGUGUUUUUUCUACAGGUAUAUAAUUCCAGUCAGUUGGGUCUUUGUACCUGAAAGAUGUUACUCUAACCUCAUGAUGUACCCUUGGACUGUGUAAUGGCUGCUGUUGAAAUAAGUCAUGUGAGUCUGGUAAAGUUAGGUGUUCCUUAAAUUUAAGUUGAUACAAUUAAAAAUAAAUUGUGACCAAUGCAGUCGCCUUCUGUUUGGGAGUGACAGCCCAUUUAGUGAUUCAGACAAAGUGUCUUACAAUGACAUCAUACGAAGGUUCAUGUCCAUUCUAGUAUUCUAAUUCCUAACUCUGUUUGUAGCACCCUAAUAAUGGUGAGGUCACUUUCAAGUCAUUGUGAGAUCACUUCCUCCCCUUGGUCCACUUCCUACUGAGGGAGGUAGGGAGGUAACUCUCAACACCGGCUGGUGUCAGGGAGGUAACUCUCAACACCGGCUGGUGUCAGGGAGGUAACACUCUCAACACCGGCUGGUGUCAGGGAGGUAACUCAACACCGGCUGGUGUCAGGGAGGUAACUCAACACCGGCUGGUGUCAGGGAGGUACCUCUCAACACCGGCUGGUGUCAGGGAGGUAACUCUCAACACCGGCUGGUGUCAGGGAGGUAACUCAACACUG